RNAcentral lists this non-coding RNA (24 nucleotides) under Arabidopsis thaliana (thale cress). Lineage: Eukaryota; Viridiplantae; Streptophyta; Magnoliopsida; Brassicales; Brassicaceae. The record is from RNAcentral.
UAGCUCUGAACAAUCGGUUUCGAA